Molecule: ribosomal RNA, 504 nt
Filed under: uncultured bacterium
Lineage: Bacteria
Description: bacterial SSU rRNA
Rfam family: Bacterial small subunit ribosomal RNA
Source: RNAcentral
GAGUUUGAUCGUGGCUCAGGACGAACGCUGGCGGCGUGCUUAACACAUGCAAGUCAAGGGGGCCCAGCAAUGGGCAACCGGCGAACGGGUGCGUAACACGUGAGCAACCUACCGAAAUGCGGGGGAUAGCCGGCCUAACGGCCGAGUAAUACCGCAUACGCUCUUUAUGAGGCAUUUCAUGGAGAGGAAACCUACGGGGUAUUUCGAGGGGCUCGCGGCCUAUCAGCUAGUUGGCGAGGUAACGGCUCACCAAGGCAACGACGGGUAGCUGGCCUGAGAGGAUGGCCAGCCACAUUGGGACUGAGAUACGGCCCAGACUCCUACGGGGAGCAGCAGUGGGAAUCUUGCGCAAUGGCCUAACGGCUGACGCAGCGACGCCGCGUGUGGGAUGAAGCUCCUCGGAGUGUAAACCACUGUUGCCCGGGACGAAUAGCUCGAUUAAUCGAGCCUGACGGUACCGGGUGAGGAAGCACCGGCUAACUCCGUGCCAGCAGCCGCCGUAAU